This 1292-nucleotide long non-coding RNA is filed under the name Equus caballus (horse). Its description in RNAcentral is "lncRNA (ENSECAG00000033977.3)". Lineage: Eukaryota; Metazoa; Chordata; Mammalia; Perissodactyla; Equidae. The record is from RNAcentral.
CGUUAAGCCAGUGUGGUGAAUAACAACUGCCAUCAUGGUAACUUACUACAGUAUUUUCUAAGGCUGCACACAAAUUUGCCGAUAUGUGUUUCACUUACGGGAUGUAAUAUGUGUAAUGUGCUAUUGAUGUCUAUUAGAAAUACAUAUAAUAGUGAGAAGGCACUUCAACCAGAAAUAGUUGCUAUUUCUUGUAAUCAGAAAGACCAGAAGAACAGUAAGGACACCUAUGGAGUGUUCUUGUUUUCAAGACUCUGAAAGCUGACCCUAGAAGAAUCGAAUAGUUAGGAUCCUCUCCAAAGAAGUUAUUGCAGACACUCCUAGAUGCAGCUUUCUCUGCUGAUGUAAAAGAAAGCAUCUGUCCUUCAAUGGAAUUACCUGGAAAUGAAAUCAAGGGGCAGAGUCCAGUACCUCUAAAUCUACAUCAGAACUUUCCACAAGUCCAAGGGCUGAAGUUUAUUCACUCAACUCAGAAAACUAUUGCAUGAUAAAGUCUGGACAAUGCUGGACUAUACAAAAUUAUACAGAUUUCCUAACUUGAGGACCUUCUGGAAUCUUUAAUAUAAAUGCGGUCAAUAGAUUCCAAAUUAUGGAAUUGGUUAAGCAGAGGCAAGCCACAGCAGUGUGAGGAUUCUCCCAUUCAGGACUAAUAGUACCUGAUGAGGAUGUUUCUAGAGAUGGUGGGACCAGGAAAGAAAAUUGUUCUGCUGGCCUCAACUGUAAAUGUGUCCUGCCUUGGAGAUGUACCCCUCUCGUGUGUUGGCAAGUUCUGUACACGGGCUUGGAAGAGGGAAAUGACAAAGUCACAUUUACAUUUUAGAUGCAUCAUCCUGGGGGCGUAUGGAAGAUGUAUAUGAAUAUGGCAGGACUGGAGGCAGAGACAAAGGUGAGGAGAACUCGGCACAGAAAGGUCAAAUAAUGAAUAUUUGACACAGUUGCGACUAGACUCCAAAACCACGUCAUUUCAACCUAUCUACAGUCUUUCCCUUAUGGUUUACCUACUCACUUAGUUGCUGCAAUGGUCAUAAACAGAAUGUACUUCAGAGAAAGGACCCAGAAUUCUCUCAGGUUGGAGAUAAGCCUGAGAAGUGAUUGGAAUGUCUUCUUUAUCAUCAAAAGGGCAGCAUGGAACCGUUGUUAAGACCAUAACUGUUCAAAGUCACUUCAAGACAAGAAUCAUCAGGUACAGGAACAAGAGGACUUGGUACCACCGAAGGUCUUUCAGUAGAGAGCUGGUGGCUAGUGAAGCUGUACGCUUGGAACUCUUUUCCUGAGGACUACACAAAAUAGAAAAC